CUCACAUUCAACAUUUCAUGGGAAACUGAAAUUCCUUUGGGUCAAACCAUCACUAAAUAUUUUACAUUUAGAAUGAGAUGAAUACUUAAAUAAUGUCCCAAAACUGCCAACUUCAGUCCACAUCUGCAUGCUAUUUACUUCUCUAGCAAAACAAUUUCUUCGACUUGUGGACUGUGAUUAUGUCUUUCAUAGUGUUAACCUGUGAUUUUACUGAUUAUCUAUUGCAUUUCCUCUCUUGCUUAAUUAGUCAUGUCCAAGCAUGUACGUCACUUGAUUUCUUCUGUUUUUUCAUUUUCCUUUUCUCCUCUUUUGUAUCUGUCCUUGCUUCCAACCGUUUAAACUGCUGCAAACGGAUUUCUUGCAAUUUUGUUUUCGCAUCUUUAAAGAGUGCAUCUGAUCUAGAAGCCAUCAAUUGCUUCAGAUGAUCCAUUGCUGCAAGAUUGAAUCCAAGUGUAUCCUUGCACUCCUUGACUCUUGCAUAAAGAAUGUCCUUGAGAACAGUCAACACAGGUCUUGCAGCUGGGGUGGUAACUAACUGAUUAUGAUGUGUCUGCAAUAGCACGG
Molecule: unclassified non-coding RNA, 564 nt
Filed under: Hevea brasiliensis (rubber tree)
Lineage: Eukaryota; Viridiplantae; Streptophyta; Magnoliopsida; Malpighiales; Euphorbiaceae
Source: RNAcentral